AGACCACCAAACAGGCUUUGUGUGAGCAGCAUGGCUGUUUAUUUCACCUGGGGGCAGGCGGGCUGAGUCCGAAAAGAGAGCCAGUGAAGGGAGAUAGGGGUGGGGCCAUUUUAUAGGAUUUGGGUAGGUAAAGGAAAAUUACAGUCAAAGGGGGGUUGUUCUCUGGCGGGCAGGAGUGGGGGUCGCAAGGUGCUCAGUGGGGGUGAUUUUUGAGCCAGGAUGAGCCAGGAAAAGGACUUUCACAAGGUAAUGUCAUCACUUAAGGCAAGGACCGGCCAUUUACACUUCUUUUGUGGUGGAACAUCAUCAGUUAAGGUGGGGCAAGGCAUACUCACUUCUUCUGUGAUUCUUCAGUUACUUCAGGCCAUCUGGGCGUAUACGUGCAAGUCACAGGGGAUGCGAUGGCUUGGCUUGGGCUCAGAGGCCUGACAUUCCUGCCUUCUUAUAUUAAUAAGAAAAAUAAAACAAAAUAGUGUUGAAGUGUUGGGGCGGUGAAAACUUUUGGGGCUUGGUAUGGAGAGAGAAUGGGCGAUGUUUCUCAGGCCUGCUUCAAGCGGGAUUAGGGGCGGCGUGGGAACCUAGAGUGGGAGAGAUUAAGCUGAAGGGAGGUCUUGUGGUAAGGGGUGAUAUUGUGGGGAUGUUAGAAGAAACAUUUGUCAUAUAGAAUGAUUGGUGAUGGCCUAGAUACGGUUUUGGAUGAAUUGAGAAACUAAAUGGAAUAACAGAAGGAGAAAGACAGGUAUAAAAGGUCUAAGAAUUGGGACGACUCAGAAUAUCUGAUUAGAGAGUGCCUAAGGAGAUUCAGCAUAGUCCUGCCAGCAAAGAUUAUUUAUUUACUUCAAGAGUUAAGAGUGGCAGUUUGGGGAUAGCACCAGGAGAUAUCAGCUGUGAUGGCUUGGAGAAACAGUGUAAACCGGCAGUGUAAACAAGAGCAGGGCGUGUAUGAGUAGUCGAGAACGGUGAAUAGGAGUAUGACUAGACAGAAGAUAGUAGUGAUGACAAGUUUUUUGGGGCACAGUCUACGUUGGUCUGGUGUCUGGAAUGAGACUGGGGCCUAAUAAAAAGGAGCGUCUAUACAGGAACUUAAAUGGGCUGUACCCUGUAGCAUUCCAAGGACAGGCCUGAAUUCUGAGAAGGGAAAGUGGUAAAAGUAUUGUCCAGUCCUUUUUAAGUUGGUGGCUGAGCUUGGUGAGGUGUGUUUUUAAAAGACCUUUAGUCCAUUCUACUUUUCUUGAAGACGGAGGACCGUAAGGGAUAUAAAGGUUGCACUGAAUACUAAGAGCCUGAAAAACUGCUUGGCUGAUUUGACUAAUAAAGGCUCGUCCGUUAUCAGACUGUAUUGAGGUGGGAAGGCUAAACUGAGGAAUUAUGUCUGACAGAACGGAAGAAAUGACUGCGGUGGCCUUCUCAGACCCUGUAGGAAAGGCCUCUACCUAUCCAGUGAAAGUAUCUACCUAGACUAAGAGGUAUUUUAGUUAUCUGACUCAGGGCAUGUUGAGCAAAGCUAAUUUGCCAGUCCUGGGUGGGGCAAAUCCUCGAGCUUGACGUGUAGGGAAGGGAGGGGGCCUGAAUAAUCCCUAAGGAGUAGUAGAAUAGCAGAUGGAACACUGAGAAGUUAUUUCCUUGAGGAUAGACUUCCACGAUGGAAAGGAAAUGAGAGGUUCUAAGAGGCAGGCUAGUGGCUUGUACUAUAGCAUAGCCUGCCUUUGCUGGUGUGUGGCGAUUAGGCCUGUUGGAACUGCCAUCAAUAAAUCAAGUGUGAUCAGGGUGAGCAACAGGAAGGAAGGAAAAAUGGGGAAAUGGGGUGAAUGUCAGGUGGAUCAGAGAGAUACAGUCAUGGGGGUCAGGUCUGGUAUCAGGAAUAAUGUGGGAGGCCGGAUUCAAGUCUGGGCCAGGAACAAUGGUAACUGUGGGAGACUCAACAAAGAGUGAGUAUAGCUGAAGGAGCCGGGAAGCAGAAAGUAUAUGCGUCAGGUAUGAGGAAGAAAAUAGAUUUUGGAAGUUAUGAGAACUGUGGAGAGUGAGUUGAGCAUAGUUUGUGAUUUUGAGGGCCUCUAAAAGUAUUAAAGCAGCGGCAGCUGCUGCACACAGACAUGAGGGCUAGGCUAAAACAGUAAGGUCAAGUUGUUCGGACAGAAAGUCUACAGGGUGUGGUCCUGGCUCUUGUGUAAGAAUUCUGACCGUGCUAACCAUGCCUAGGAAGGAAAGGAGUUGUUGUUUUCUAGAAGGUGCUUGGGUUUGAGAGAUCAGUCGGACAUGACUGGCAGGGAGAGCACGUGUGUUUUUAUGAGAAUUAUGCCGAGAUAGGUAACAGAUGAGGAAGAAAUUUGGGCUUCAUUGAAGUAAUGGGGGCUGUCUGUGAAGCUUUGCGGCAGUACAGCCUAGGUAAUUUGCUGAGCUUGAUGGGUGUCAGGGUCAGUCCAAGUGAAAGUGAAGAGAGGCUGGGAUUAAGCGUGCAAAGGAAUAGUAAAGAAAGCAUGUUUGAGAUCUAGAACAGAAUAAUGGGUUGUAGAGGCAGGUAUUGAGGAUAGGAGAGUAUAUGGGUUUGGCAGCACGGGGUGGAUAGGCAGAACAAUUUGGUUGAUAAGGCGCAGAUCCUGAACUAACUUGUAAGGCUUGUCUGGUUUUAGGACAGGUAAAAUGGGGGAAUUGUAAGGAGAGUUGAUAGGCUUUAAAAGGCCAUGCUCUAGCAGGCGAGUGAUAACAGGCUUUAAUCUUUUUAAAGCAUGCUGCCAGAUGGGAUAUUGGCGUUGAGUGGGCUAAGGGUGAUUAGGUUUUAAUGAGAUGGUAAGGGGUGCAUGAUCGGUCGCCAAGGAGGGAGUAGAGGUAUCUUAUACUUGUGGGUUAAGAUGGGGGAAUACAAGAGGAGGACGCAAAGGAGGCUUUGGAUUGGGAAGAAGGGCAUCAAUGAGAUGCGGCUAUAAUCCAGGAACAGUCAGGGAAGCAGAUAAUUUGGUUAAAAUAUGUCGGCCUAAUAAGGGAACUGGGCAGGUGGAGAUAACUAAAAAAGAGUGCAUAAAAGAGUGUUGUCUAAGUUGGCACCAGAGUUGGGGAGUUUUAAGAGGUUUAGAAGCCUGGCCGUCAAUACCCACAACAGUUAUGGAGGCAAGGGAAACAGGCCCUUGAAAAGAAGGUAAUGUGGAGUGGGUAGACUCCGUAUUAAUUAAGAAGGGGACGGACUUACCCUCCAUUGUGAGAGUUACCUGAAGCUCGGCGUCCGUGAUGGUCUAGGGGGCUUCUGAGGCGAUUGGGCAGCGUCAGUCUUCAGCCGCUAAGCCAAGAAGAUCUGGGAAGCAGUCAGAGAGCCUUGGGCCAGAGUUCCAGGGGCUCUGGGAGUGGCUGCCAGGUGAGUUGGACAGUCCGAUUUCCAGUGGGGUCCCGCACACAUGGGAUGUGGCUUAGGAGGAAUCCUGGGCUGCAGGCAUUCCUUGGCCUGGUGGCCACAUUUCUGGCACUUAUAGCAAGCUCCUCGGGGAGGAGGUUCUGGAGGAAUGCCUGGCCGCUGCGGUUCAGGCGUUUGGAAGUUCUUGUGUGCUGGAGAUGUGGCUGGGGUUUGUCUCACAGUGGAGGCAAGGAAUUGCAACUUUUUUCUAUUAUUGUACACUUUGAAGAGUGAUACAUGAAGUAUUCAGGACACUUCUGAGAAAAGAAGGGGAGAACCAAGAAAAAUCUCUGCUACUAAAGCAUGAAGACUAUGAACAUGAAGGGAGAUGACCUCAUCUGUAAGAGGGCUGACUUUCAAUAGAUGGCAGCGAGGGAGCUGCUCUGCUACGUACAAAACCAUGAAUGCUCUCUUUUCAUUUCCAUUUUCAUGAGUUAUAAAGAACAAAUUUAUUUCUCACAGUUCUGGAGGCUGGGUAGUUCAAGAUCAAGGUGCCAGCAUCUAAUGAGGACCUUCUUGCUGUGCCAUCUCAUGGUGGAAGUUAGAAGGAAACGAGAGCGUGAGAGAGAGAGAGAAAGUAAAACAAGGUAGAAUAUCUGUUUUCUGGAAAGACUGAGCAAGAUGUAUGCAUUAUUGCUUCAGGAGACUGUACAAUGUUGGAAUUUCAGGUUGCCUGCUAGAAGGGGAUUGAUUAUCUGGAUGGAAACACGACAUAUUUUUCUGGUUACAGAAUAUACCAAGGAAAAUGAGAGCAUCCCAAAUGAGAUAAUGUAGAGUGGUCCAAGACAUUCGACUGGGCUGUCUCCAAAACUUAUAAGAAGUGUAUGGCAAACAUCUUUUAAUUUCCUUUGAAUGAGAAGAUUAAGAGGGAAGAAACUAAACUGUGCUCUAAUGUCAAUAGUUUAAAAUGUUAUCAUGCUAAAAAUGACACAAAGGAACGAUUCAAAAGAAGUCGAUGAUUAUUCUAUAGGUAUUACUAUUAUUAUUUGAAUAGCGGUGUAAAUUGUAACAUAGGAAUUUGCAGAACUUUAAAUCUAAUUAAUGAAAAAUAAACCUUAUAUCUAAUGUAAGCUGAUACCUAAAUUUCAGCCCAAUAUAGGACAUGUUCUCAAUUUCUCACACUUACAGGCCAGUUACACUUUGUUUUAUCUCUCAUUAAAUCUUUUAUAUCAUUUUAAAACCUUAAUAAUUUUUAUGAAAAAUGUCUGGAUGAAACGAAAAUGUUAAAGUUUCAUAUGCCUUAUGCAUUAAGCAGAAAAUUUCCAAUUCAGACUUUUCUCACAGAUGUGUUUAAGUUGGCCUCUGCUCCUAGCAGGUAAAUUACCAAAUAGAGAAGCAAGUAUUAGCUUACAGGAUUUUUAAAAUUUAUUGUUAAAUUUGCAUAUAGAAAAAUUCACUUUUGUGCUGUACUUUUAUAGUAAAGAUUUACCCCUACCCCAACUCCUGGCAACACACUGUUCUUGAUCCCUGUAGUUUUGUUUUUUCCAGAGUGACACGUAAAUGGAAUCUUAUGUAAUCAUAUGUAAACUUUUGAAUGUGGCUUAUUGCCCUUAGCAUACGUAUUUGAGAUCUAUGCAUGUUGUUAUGGGUAUCAGGAGUUCAAUUACUUUUAUUACUGAGUAGUAUUCCAUUGUAUGGUUGUGCCAGUUUUACUAUCUCCCACUUGAGACACAUUUGAGUUGUUUCCAGUUUGCCACUAUUUUGAGUAAAGCUGCU
This 5098-nucleotide long non-coding RNA is filed under the name Homo sapiens (human). RNAcentral's name for it is "HSALNT0285982". Lineage: Eukaryota; Metazoa; Chordata; Mammalia; Primates; Hominidae. The record is from RNAcentral.